Molecule: microRNA precursor, 106 nt
Filed under: Eutrema salsugineum
Lineage: Eukaryota; Viridiplantae; Streptophyta; Magnoliopsida; Brassicales; Brassicaceae
Description: MIR398 microRNA precursor family
Rfam family: MIR398 microRNA precursor family
Source: Rfam by way of RNAcentral
CGAAAUCUCAAAGGAGUGAUAUGAGAACACAGAUCCUCUGGUUUCCUUAAGAUUUUUCACUGAAACAAUCGUGUUUGUGUUCUCAGGUCACCCCUUUGAAUCUCCC